AGUGAACGCUGGCGGUAGGCCUAACACAUGCAAGUCGAACGGCAGCACAGUAAGAGCUUGCUCUUACGGGUGGCGAGUGGCGGACGGGUGAGGAAUACAUCAGAAUCUACUUUUUCGUGGGGGAUAACGUAGGGAAACUUACGCUAAUACCGCAUACGACCUACGGGUGAAAGCAGGGGAUCUUCGGACCUUGCGCGAUUGAAUGAGCCGAUGUCGGAUUAGCUAGUUGGCGGGGUAAAGGCCCACCAAGGCGACGAUCCGUAGCUGGUCUGAGAGGAUGAUCAACCACACUGGAACUGAGACACGGUCCAGACUCCUACGGGAGGCAGCAGUGGGGAAUAUUGGACAAUGGGCGCAAGCCUGAUCCAGCCAUACCGCGUGGGUGAAGAAGGCCUUCGGGUUGUAAAGCCCUUUUGUUGGGAAAGAGAAGCAGCAGGUUAAUACCCCGCUGUUCUGACGGUACCCAAAGAAUAAGCACCGGCUAACUUCGUG
RNAcentral lists this ribosomal RNA (492 nucleotides) under uncultured bacterium. RNAcentral's name for it is "partial 16S ribosomal RNA". It matches the Rfam family "Bacterial small subunit ribosomal RNA", at positions 29 to 507 of the family's 1533-position model. The record is from RNAcentral.